RNAcentral lists this microRNA precursor (230 nucleotides) under Oryza sativa (Asian cultivated rice). RNAcentral describes it as "partial microRNA MIR433g precursor". It matches the Rfam family "MIR812 microRNA precursor family". Lineage: Eukaryota; Viridiplantae; Streptophyta; Magnoliopsida; Poales; Poaceae. The record is from RNAcentral.
GUCCCAAAAUAAGUGCAUUUUUGUACUAUAUUCAUGUCCAACGUUUGACCGUUCGUCUUAUUUGAAAUAUUUUUAUGAUUACCAUUUUUACUGUUAUUAGAUGAUAAAACAUGAAUAGUACUUUAUAUGUGACUAUUUUUUUUAGUUUUUUCAUAAAAUUUUCAAAUAAGACGGACGGUCAAACGUCGGAUACGGAUUUUCAUGACUGCACUUAUUUUGGGACGGAUGUA